RNAcentral lists this ribosomal RNA (400 nucleotides) under phytoplankton environmental sample. RNAcentral's name for it is "partial small subunit ribosomal RNA". It matches the Rfam family "Eukaryotic small subunit ribosomal RNA", at positions 587 to 994 of the family's 1831-position model. The record is from RNAcentral.
AGCUCCAUUAGCGUAUAUUAAAGUUGUUGCAGUUAAAAAGCUCGUAGUUGGAUUUCAGUACGGGCCAGUUGGUCGGCCGCAAGGCCUGUGGCUGGUCUGUUCUUCUUCUCAAAGACUGCGUGGGCUCUUCGCUGAGUGUGCGUAGCAUUUGAGACGUUUACUUUGAAAAAAUUAGAGUGUUCAAGGCAGGCUACAAAGCUUGAAUACAUGAGCAUGGAAUAAUGGAAUAUGACUACGGUCCCUAUUUCGUUGGUUUCGAGGACCGAAGUAAUGAUUAAGAGGGACAGUUGGGGGCAUCCGUAUUUCGUAGUCAGAGGUGAAAUUCUUGGAUCUGCGAAAGACGAACAACUGCGAAAGCAUUUGCCAAGAGUGUUUUCAUUAAUCAAGAACGAAAGUACGC